UCAGUCUCCUACCACCGUAUCUUUCAUAAAAAUAGUAAGUACAUCUCUAUACUCCUCACUUGCAUGUUCAGAAAAUUCAAUGUAAGACCCCCUUGCCUAAACUUUAAAGGCUGUUGUUGCACAGUAAUAAGGGACUAGAAUUUAACCCACCAUAUGAAGGUAUAUAUAUUUUUGUUAAAGCCCUGGUGUUGAAUCGAGAAGAGCAACUUGGUGAAAUUGGAGAAGAGCAACUAGGUCAAUGCAGCUGGUGAUCUCUGUGCUAUUUGCCAGGAGAAGAUGCAUGCCCCAAUCUUACUUCGUUGUAACCACAUUUUCUGCGAAGACUGUGUAUCAGAAUGAUGAUCUUUGUUGCAGAUGAUCUCGGAGUUUCUCAGGACAAGAUACAUUUCUCUUGCCAGCAUAGGUGGUGGACUUGAUGACUGCAGAAUAACCUCAUCCGGCGAUGGUGGUGAUGCUGAGCCCGGGGAGAUUGAUAGCAAACGGGAUAUCCCACUGCCAUCUAUAGGGAAACGGUUUUCCCUAGAAUAUAUCUCAUUCUCAUUUGCCAAACGAGCCUUCUCAGCCAGAAGUGUCUCCAGUUGAAGCCGGAUCUGAGAAAACCACAAAUACAAAAGUCAGAGGAAGGGGUGAAAGAAAAAGCAAGAGAUGGUUGAUGCGUAGCAGCAGAGGCUUUGAUGGCUUGAGCAGCAAGUGAUGGUGAAGAUAAAGAGAAGGAAGGUGGAAGCCCUUGAUAGACCUUGUCUUCUUCUGUAUGCCAUGCUAUUUCCUACCACAACCUGCGAGAUCACAAAAACCAGGAACGAAACUUCUGAUUCAGAUUCAACAACUGCCACAACCAACUCUUUCC
Gastrolobium bilobum is the source of this 847-nucleotide long non-coding RNA. RefSeq lists it as uncharacterized. NCBI's taxonomy places the organism in Eukaryota, Viridiplantae, Streptophyta, Magnoliopsida, Fabales, Fabaceae. The record is from RefSeq and is a predicted model, not a curated record. The transcript has 7 exons.